GACGAACGCUGGCGGCGUGCUUAACACAUGCAAGUCGAACGGAAAGGCCCUGCUUUUGCGGGGUGCUCGAGUGGCGAACGGGUGAGUAACACGUGAGUAAACUGCCCUUGACUUUGGGAUAACUUCAGGAAACUGGGGCUAAUACCCGAUAGGAGCUCCUGCUGCAUGGGGGGGGUUGGAAAGUUUCGGCGGUUGGGGAUGGACUCGCGGCUUAUCCGCUUGUUGGGGGGGUAGUGGCUUACCAAGGCUUUGACGGGUAGCCCGCCUGAGAGGGUGACCGGCGACCAGAGGCCUACGGGAGGCACCAGUCUGCUACGUGCGGCAACGGUCGGGAGUCUUGCACAGUGAGGCGGCGCGUGUGGCGAAGGCCCUGGGUGCGUAAUGCCGUGCUACGGGUUGUAAACCGAUUUGGCCUGUGCCGUGCAGUGAGUGACGGUACUGGAUCAAAAAGCACCGGCUAACUACGUG
RNAcentral lists this ribosomal RNA (468 nucleotides) under uncultured bacterium. RNAcentral's name for it is "partial 16S ribosomal RNA". It matches the Rfam family "Bacterial small subunit ribosomal RNA", at positions 28 to 507 of the family's 1533-position model. The record is from RNAcentral.